This 730-nucleotide ribosomal RNA is filed under the name uncultured bacterium. RNAcentral describes it as "bacterial SSU rRNA". It matches the Rfam family "Bacterial small subunit ribosomal RNA", at positions 56 to 763 of the family's 1533-position model. The record is from RNAcentral.
UGCAAGUCGAACGGCAGCGCGGGGGCUUCGGUCUCUGGCGGCGAGUGGCGGACGGGUGAGUAAUAUAUGGGAACGCGCCCGGCGGCGGGGGAUAACUCUGGGAAACCAGAGCUAAUACCGCAUGCGUUUCGCCUUUCGGGGCGAAAGAAAGCGGGGGACUUCUUCGGAGGCCUCGCACCGGCGGAGCGGCCCAUAUCCGAUUAGCUUGUUGGCGGGGUAACAGCCCACCAAGGCCGCGAUCGGUAGCUGGUCUGAGAGGACGGACAGCCACACCGGGACUGAGACACGGCCCGGACUCCUACGGGAGGCAGCAGUGGGGAAUAUUGGACAAUGGGGGCAACCCUGAUCCAGCAAUGCCGCGUGUGUGAAGAAGGCCUUCGGGUUGUAAAGCACUUUCGCGGGGGAAGAAAAAGCGAGGGGUAAUAUCUCUCGCGCCUGACGGUACCCCGAGAAGAAGCACCGGCUAACUACGUGCCAGCAGCCGCGGUAAUACGUAGGGUGCGAGCGUUAAUCGGAAUUACUGGGCGUAAAGCGUGCGCAGGCGGCCUGUCAAGUCGGGUGUGAAAUCCCCGGGCUCAACCCGGGAAUUGCGCUUGAAACCGGCGGGCUAGAGUACGGCAGAGGAAGGUGGAAUUCCGUGUGUAGCGGUGAAAUGCGUAGAUAUACGGAAGAACACUCAUGGCGAAGGCAUCCUUCUGGGCCGUAACUGACGCUCAUGCACGAAAGCGUG